CUUGAACGCAGGAGGUGGAGGUUGCAGUGAGCCGAGAUCCUGCCACUCUGCCACUGUAUUCCAGCCUGGGUGACAGCGAGACUCUGUCUCAAAACAAACAAACAAACAAAAACCUGAACCUCAGCCCUAUCCGCACGCAUACAAGCACACCCCUCCAAUCCGUUACUAAGGCCUAUUGGUUGUAAUUUCAUUCUCCUGCAACCACCCACUUCUUCCCGUUUCCAUGGCCACCAUCCUUGUCCAAACCACCAGCAUCUUGUGCUAGAACAACUGUACUAGACAACUGGCUGUUCUGCUCCGUCCUGCCCACUUUGAUCCACC
This 321-nucleotide long non-coding RNA is filed under the name Homo sapiens (human). Its description in RNAcentral is "HSALNT0231339". Lineage: Eukaryota; Metazoa; Chordata; Mammalia; Primates; Hominidae. The record is from RNAcentral.